Molecule: non-coding RNA, 29 nt
Filed under: Mus musculus (house mouse)
Lineage: Eukaryota; Metazoa; Chordata; Mammalia; Rodentia; Muridae
Source: RNAcentral
UGCUUGACUGUUCAGAUCGCCAAUGAACU